Molecule: unclassified non-coding RNA, 290 nt
Filed under: Hevea brasiliensis (rubber tree)
Lineage: Eukaryota; Viridiplantae; Streptophyta; Magnoliopsida; Malpighiales; Euphorbiaceae
Source: RNAcentral
GGAGAGGUUUACUUAUCUUGUGGCAGCUGUGAUGUCUAGUUUGGGGAUUACUUCUAUGGCGAUUUUGGCGGUUUAUUACAGAUUUUCAUGGCAAAUGGAGGGUGGAGAAGUGCCUUUUUCUGAAAUGUUAGCUACAUUCACUCUCUCGUUUGGCGCUGCCGUAGGAAUGGAGUACUGGGCGAGAUGGGCUCAUAGAGCACUAUGGCAUGCUUCUUUAUGGCACAUGCACGAGUCGCACCAUAGACCAAGAGAAGGACCUUUUGAGAUGAACGACGUUUUCGCCAUAACAA